This 402-nucleotide ribosomal RNA is filed under the name Triticum aestivum (bread wheat). RNAcentral's name for it is "partial small subunit ribosomal RNA". The record is from RNAcentral. Lineage: Eukaryota; Viridiplantae; Streptophyta; Magnoliopsida; Poales; Poaceae.
AUGAAGAAGAAGGGUGUUAGCAUUGUUGCAUUGUGGGAAAGAGCUUCAAAGGCAAAUAAAAGAACUUCCACAUCUACACCAAAUCCUCCUGAUGUUGAAGUUGAGAGCAGCAGCAUUCCUCCUACUAUUGAGAGCAAUCUGCAACUGGCACUAGUGCAAGCAUAUGAACCGGAUGAUAGUCACACAGAACCUGAGAGUGGCUCCCCAGCCCCAAUUGUAGAAGAUGAUAAAGCAAAUGAUGAAGUUCAAUUUGAAGUAGAUUUGGAAGCACUUGAGCCAGUUCCCAGGAAACGGAUCCCCAUCUCUAGGUACAUGUCAAUGACCAGGAUAAAGUUAGAAGGAGAUACAUCGAGUUGGGGCCAUGUCAACCAAAGAAACAUAAUUUUGAGUACAGAGACAUAA